GACGAACCGUGCUAACGUUGUUCGGAAUCACUGGGCUUAAAGGGCGCGUAGGCGGCCCACCAAGUCAGGGGUGAAAUCUUUCGGCUUAACCGGAAAAGUGCCUUUGAUACUGGUGGGCUCGAGCGAGGUAGGGGCAGAUGGAACUUCGGGUGGAGCGGUGAAAUGUGUAGAUAUCCGAAGGAACGCCGGUGGCGAAAGCGAUCUGCUGGACCUCUUCUGACGCUGAGGAGCGAAAGCCAGGGGAGCAAACGGG
This 253-nucleotide ribosomal RNA is filed under the name uncultured bacterium. RNAcentral describes it as "partial 16S ribosomal RNA". It matches the Rfam family "Bacterial small subunit ribosomal RNA", at positions 524 to 776 of the family's 1533-position model. The record is from RNAcentral.